AUGAACGCUGGCGGCGUGCCUAAUACAUGCAAGUCGAGCGAACGGACGAGAAGCUUGCUUCUCUGAUGUUAGCGGCGGACGGGUGAGUAACACGUGGAUAACCUACCUAUAAGACUGGGAUAACUUCGGGAAACCGGAGCUAAUACCGGAUAAUAUUUUGAACCGCAUGGUUCAAAAGUGAAAGACGGUCUUGCUGUCACUUAUAGAUGGAUCCGCGCUGCAUUAGCUAGUUGGUAAGGUAACGGCUUACCAAGGCAACGAUGCAUAGCCGACCUGAGAGGGUGUUCGGCCACACUGGAACUGAGACACGGUCCAGACUCCUACGGGAGGCAGCAGUAGGGAAUCUUCCGCAAUGGGCGAAAGCCUGACGGAGCAACGCCGCGUGAGUGAUGAAGGUCUUCGGAUCGUAAAACUCUGUUAUUAGGGAAGAACAUAUGUGUAAGUAACUGUGCACAUCUUGACGGUACCUAAUCAGAAAGCCACGGCUAACUACGUG
RNAcentral lists this ribosomal RNA (496 nucleotides) under uncultured bacterium. Its description in RNAcentral is "partial 16S ribosomal RNA". It matches the Rfam family "Bacterial small subunit ribosomal RNA", at positions 29 to 507 of the family's 1533-position model. The record is from RNAcentral.